Molecule: microRNA precursor, 114 nt
Organism: Sorghum bicolor (sorghum)
Lineage: Eukaryota; Viridiplantae; Streptophyta; Magnoliopsida; Poales; Poaceae
Rfam family: MIR5565 microRNA precursor family
Source: Rfam
GUAGUCGGAUUCGCAUCAAUCCACAUAUAUUGGAUUGGAUUGGAUUGGAGUGGAAUUUAAACUAAAUUCCACUCCAAUCCACUCCAACACAUGUGGAUUGAGGUGAAUCCGACA